Epinephelus lanceolatus (giant grouper) is the source of this 841-nucleotide non-coding RNA. NCBI's taxonomy places the organism in Eukaryota, Metazoa, Chordata, Actinopteri, Perciformes, Serranidae. The record is from RefSeq and is a predicted model, not a curated record.
GAUCAGACUCACCUUCAGGCUGCUGUGUCUUCUGUCCUGUGUUCCUGCAGCAGCUGGAGGCUGAUUGGCUUCCACCUUCGUUUACCAGAUUAAAAGCAGCUGCUCUCAGACAGGAGUCCAGUCUUUUGUGUUUCCAUCAAGUGGAAACUGCUGUGGUGUCAUGUGAAGGAGAUCUGGGACACAAACGUCCUGAGGACACUCUCAGAGAGCUCCUAACUCAGCCUAGACACUUUUAGUGAGGAGUUGUAGCUGCAGGUGUGGUUGACCCUGUUGACCCUGUUGACCCUGUUGACCCUGGGAUCAGAUGUGAGAGACUUUCUUUGUGUGUGUGUGUGUGUGUGUGUGUGUGUUAGGUGCUGACGCCCACCCUGAUGGUGACGGCAGGUAAAGACCCGGUGCUGCUGCCGGCCUUGUCCAAAGGGAUGGAGGACUUGAUCCCGAACCUGAGACGAGGACACAUAGAGGAGUGUGGACACUGGAUUCAGAUGGACAAGCCGGCGGAGACAAACAGCAUCUUGAUUUCAUGGCUGAAAGAAACACUGAAGGAGGCGGCAGGCGGCGGCGUGGGCUCCAAACUGUGACAGCGCCACAGCAAAGUUGAUCUCUGUCUGAACAUCGCUUUCCUCUUUUACUAUAUAAUAAUCCCAAAUGUAACAUUUUGUUGUUUCGGACUGAAAGACGUCACCUUUGGUUGGGUAAAGUUUGAUGGACAUUUUCUAACAUUUCUGUCGCAGUAAUCAAUAAUUAAUAAGUCAGAUCAAUAACAGCAGGGUAACUGAUGAUGAAAAAUGUUGUUCUGUUAAUGAACCUUGAAAACAUGUUAAAGUUCUACGUCACUAAA